Drosophila pseudoobscura is the source of this 711-nucleotide long non-coding RNA. RefSeq lists it as uncharacterized. Lineage: Eukaryota; Metazoa; Arthropoda; Insecta; Diptera; Drosophilidae. The record is from RefSeq and is a predicted model, not a curated record. The transcript has 2 exons.
AGGCAAAGCGUGCGAGGCGCGCGCCAAAAAUAUGCCGCAUUAUUCUGCUGCAUUCAUUCCGAUUCGGUUGCUCAGACAGUAAGAAUGGACUACGAAAAUAUUAAAUUUGAAUUCAGAGAAGGAAGCCGAGCGGGCUGCUCGUUACUGUUGUUUUCAUUAUUCGAGCAACAAAUUUAUGUAAAAAACAAACAAUUAAAACUAGGCGAAACCACAUAUGUGUGCCGAGUUAAAUUCUGUAAAGCCAGAGUUUAUUUAAGUUCAGACAAAUCUAGAGUUUACUCAAAUCCUGAAUAUGUUGUGCAUAGCCAUGGCCCUCAGAGUGAUGAAAUGAAAAAAAUCAGUGCUCUUAGUGAAAUAAAACUGAAGUGCGAAAAUAAUAGCAAUUUCGACACCAAAAAAGUAUUCAAUGAUGUUCUUGCUGAGAAAACAAGAGGUGAAGCGGAGAUUGAAAUAAAUUAUGACUCUGUCAAACGCACUUUGCAAAGAAAAAGACAGACAAGCAAAAAACGACUUGGAAGAAAAUGAAAAUAUAAAGCCAAAAUGUCCAAGUUGCAACCAAGAAGUCGAAGAGGCCAUACGCAAUGUUUUUAUUUAUAAUUAACUUGUGUAAGUUAAGAACGAAAAAAUUUAAGAAAACUGCUAUUAUGAUUUCUGUGUAUUUGGACUAUUGCACAUUUUUUAAUUUCAAUAAAAUUAUGUUAUAAAAGGAAA